Molecule: ribosomal RNA, 406 nt
Filed under: uncultured bacterium
Lineage: Bacteria
Description: partial 16S ribosomal RNA
Rfam family: Bacterial small subunit ribosomal RNA
Source: RNAcentral
AUUGAACGCUGGCGGCAGGCCUAACACAUGCAAGUCGAGCGAGCGGCGGACGGGUGCGUAAUGUCUGGGAAACUGCCUGAUGGAGGGGGAUAACUACUGGAAACGGUAGCUAAUACCGCAUACCAUCAGAUGUGCCCAGAUGGGAUUAGCUAGUAGGGGGGGUAACGGCUCACCUAGGCGACGAUCCCUAGCUGGUCUGAGAGGAUGACCAGCCACAGUGGAACUGAGACACGGUCCAGACUCCUACGGGAGGCAGCAGUGGGGAAUCUUCCGCAAUGGACGAAAGUCUGACGGAGCAACGCCGCGUGUAUGAAGAAGGCAUUCGGGUUGUAAAGGACUUUCAGCGGGGAGGCGUUACCCGCAGAAGAAGCACCGGCUAACUCCGUGCCAGCAGCCGCGGUAAUAC